CAAUGGAGAGUUUGAUCCUGGCUCAGGACGAACGCUGGCGGCGUGCUUAACACAUGCAAGUCAAGGAGAACGUCCCGCUUGCGGGAUUAUUAAACUGGCGAACGGGUGAGUAACGCGUAGACAACCUGCCCUACAGAUUGGGAUAACCCCGGGAAACCGGGACUAAUACCGAAUGAUGCAACAGAUCCUUCGGGAUACAGUUGUUAAAGUGGGCUUCGGCUCACACUAUGGGAUGGGUCUGCGUCCGAUUAGCUUGUUGGUAAGGUAAUGGCUUACCAAGGCGAUGAU
Molecule: ribosomal RNA, 288 nt
Filed under: Fidelibacterota bacterium
Lineage: Bacteria; Pseudomonadati; Fidelibacterota
Description: partial 16S ribosomal RNA
Rfam family: Bacterial small subunit ribosomal RNA
Source: RNAcentral